ACGGGAGGCAGCAGCUAAGAAUAUUCCGCAAUGGACGGAAGUCUGACGGAGCGACGCCGCGUGGGCGAUGAAGGUCGGAAGAUUGUAAAGCCCUUUUUAAGCCGAAGAAGAAGGCCGCCAGGAAAUGGGCGGCCGGUGACUGUAGGCUUGGAAUAAGCGACGGCUAAUUACGUGCCAGCAGCCGCGGUAACACGUAAGUCGCGAGCGUUGUUCGGAAUUAUUGGGCGUAAAGGGCGUGCAGGCGGACAGGCAGGCUUGGCGGUAAAUGUGCGGGCUCAACUUGCACAUGCGCCGAGAACCUUUUGUCUAGGGUUGCCGAAGCGGUGCUGGAAUUCCGGGUGAAGGGGUGAAAUCUGCAGAUAUCCGGAAGAACACCAAUGGCGAAGGCAGGCAUCGGGCGGACGACCGACGCUGAGACGCGAAGGUAUGGGGAGUGAACAGGAUUAGAUACCCUGGUA
This 458-nucleotide ribosomal RNA is filed under the name uncultured Treponema sp. RNAcentral describes it as "partial 16S ribosomal RNA". It matches the Rfam family "Bacterial small subunit ribosomal RNA", at positions 341 to 792 of the family's 1533-position model. The record is from RNAcentral. Lineage: Bacteria; Pseudomonadati; Spirochaetota; Spirochaetia; Treponematales; Treponemataceae.